GUGGCUCUUGAUUGGCUUUGACUCAUGCCUAUGAGACUGUGAGGAUCUCGUUUCCCUAGUAACGGAUUGGCACUGAGAGCCACCAAUUACUUAAAAGGACGGCGGAAAAGAGGGUGGGAAGUUCUUUGACCGAUAUUCAUGGUAGCCAAUAAGUGUGCGAGGCGGCUCCCAUUCGUUAAAAUGUGUUCCCUUGGGCGGAGAUCCGUUUUCCAUACAGGAGCGGUUGCUCCACAAGGUGGGGCCCGUGUACUUUGGGGAAGUAAACCCCAAGCAACUAGGAGGUGGGCGCCAGGGAGGCCAAGGGAGCCCCCGGCCAAUGGCAAAGCGAGAAGGAUCUGAUUGACGCGGGGGUUGGACUGCGCCAAGGAGACCGAGCCCCAGGGCCGCCGUGCCCUCUGGGGAUGUUCAGAGGUUCCUCUGGCCCGGGCUUCCGUCCUCUUUCCUUUCUUUCCCUCACUUGUUGGGUCUAGGCCCUGAGGCCUUUCUCCCACCUUUUCUGCAGCUCGGUACCCGGGAAACCAAGUACGAAAGUUCCCGUUUGUUUGUUGUUUUUUUUUUUUUUCUUUCUGUAGCAACUUUUUUAUUUCCACGCGGCCACCUAAGAGCACUUGCUGGCUCUCACCAUUAGUCAGCACUCUUGUGGGACGACAGUUUAGGAGCAAGCGAGAGGGGAGAGUAGCGCCGUCGUGUACCUGCGAUCGCGUACAAAGGCGGCACGGGGAAGGUGCGGUUGAGUUUGAGAACGCGGAACUCGACCCUGCUGUUCGCGGCCGACGGCCGGCUGGUGGGAGCCCGCUGAGCUCUUUCCCGUCUGUUGCUGCCAAGGAACCGUAGCCUGUGAGGUCUCCGCUCCGGUUGGUCCUUCAUGCAACAUCCCGUGCGUCUCCACCAUUGCCAUGCAGUGUUCGAGUAGCUCGGGGUGUGGGGGCUGCUUUCGCGCCGCUGCGUCUUUAAAAGGUCAAUUUGUCAAACUCCUACUCGGACGCCGCAAAGGUUUCCCGGAGCACUUCAGGGGUUGAGUGGCGCUCCAGCCCGGUCCUGUCCACGUCUCUCUGUUUUACUGGGCCCUCUGUUGGUCACCGCGAGCGUUUUGGAAGGAAAUGGUCGAUUCUCAUUCCAGGCAUGAAAUGAAACAGGUAUGGAGCUGUAUGGAACUGCUCUCACAGUGGACUGUCAAGCAACCGUAGAGAAAAUGAGGUGGAUCUAUGCGUAGCUACAGAGCGAUCUGCAAAGUGCAAAAUCAUGGAAAGAGUAAAAAGGGGGAAGAAGAAUAUAGCCCCGAGUAAGAAAAGGGGUUUGGCCUCCUCAGAAAUCCCUGAAAGGCUGGAAUAGUCCUUCAUGUCCUCAAACAUGCCAUCAGGGAAAGAAACUGAGGUUCAGAGAGGUUUAUUGCCCAGAACAGCCAGGAACUGAACACAGGUGCCUGGCAAGAUUAUUCUGUCCCGCCCCCUUAGAGACAGGCAUGACCACAUGCCCUACUUUGGCCAACACAACGUGAGCAGAAGUGACACAUAUCUUUUCCAGGAAGAAAGGUCUUUGGAGCCAGUGAUUAUUUGCUGAGGUCUUCCCUCCCCACACUAGCCCCCAUAUUCAAUAUCAUUCUGUUCAGAGAAUCUCCCUCAACCUGGGUCCCUGAGGAAAAAUCAUUUGCACAGAAACAAUCCUCCAAACUGCCCAACCUGCAAUGGUCAUAUGACAUAAACAAGGUGGAGAAAUAUGUUGUUUUAAGCCUUUGAGGUUUUGUGAUGGUUUGUUGCAAUAGCCUUAACUGGCCUUUCUUGCCAGUUACAGAUAAAUUUCCAGAUCUACCAGUGUUUCAGCAGAUACUCAAAAUCUGGAUUACUCACUGUUCUUUCUUAACAUUUUAUUAAUGGUAUAAAAGUGUUUGGUCCUCACUUUUUUUUUUUUUUUAAUUUAUUGAUUUAUUGGGUGCCUGUGUGGCUCAGUGCCUUAAAGCCUCUGCCUUCGGCCCAGGUCGUGAUACCAGGGUUCUGGGAUCAAGCCCCGCAUCGGGCUUUCUGCUCAGCGGGGAGCCUGCUUCCCCCUCUCUCUCUGCCUGCCUCUCUGCCUACUUGUGAUCUCUGUCUGUCAAAUAAAUAAAAUCUUAAAAAAAAA
Long non-coding RNA from Mustela lutreola (European mink), 2115 nucleotides. RefSeq lists it as uncharacterized. The transcript is spliced from 5 exons. The record is from RefSeq and is a predicted model, not a curated record. Lineage: Eukaryota; Metazoa; Chordata; Mammalia; Carnivora; Mustelidae.